GAAAAGUACAGGUCAUAAUCUUCAGUUUAAACUCAAGAUCUUAACGAAUUGUUUUCUUCAUAUUACAGCAAAAUACACCGACAUGAGACCAAAUUUUGUUGGCAUCAAUUCCGGGCACGUAACAAUAGCUUCUUUUGACGAAGUACUUAUCUGGCAUUAUAAUACACCUAAGAGCGUCGCUAAUUUACAUGGUGCAAAGACGCGCAAAGAUAAUCGUUUUCACAUAGACGAUACACCUACCGGUGUCGAAAUGGCCAAGGACUUAGUUAUCGCUACAGGCGGUAGCAGCGCGGAUAACAAAGGCUACAAGCCGCAUGCCAAUGUAGAUCCUAUCUGCACGCUAGCAAUGUCCGAAAAAAUAUUAUUGGUGGCACGCGAUUCGGGCGUUGUAAAUGAGUAUAGUGUUCCGAACGUAGCGCUACGCAAUCGUCACAAGCUCAAUUCAAGACCCUAUAAAAUGGUUAUUAAUUGCAAUUCUAGCCGUGCAGCGGUAAUCGAUGAUGCUGGUAUCAUGACUUUGCUUGACUUGGACGAUAAUCGCGAGUCACAAUUGAACUUUAAUCGCGUUGAACGUAAGGAUGUAUGGGCCAUUUGUUGGGCCAAAGAUAAUCCCUUGCUACUCGCUUUAAUGGAGAAAACGCGCAUGUAUGUGUUUCGUGGCAAUGAUCCUGAGGAACCUAUUUCUUGUUCCGGUUAUAUUUGCGCUUUCGAAGAUUUAGAAAUUACGAGUGUCCUCCUCGAUGAUAUAAUAAGUGGCGAUGAAACUCAGAAUUCCAUCAGUCAUAUUAUACAGUUGCGUGUUAAAUCAUUGCGUGAUACCGAUGAUCUGCUCCAGCACGUGGGCUUGGAAGAUGCUAAGCAAUUCAUCGAAGACAACCCACAUCCACGUCUAUGGCGUCUAUUAGCUGAGGCGGCAUUGAAGAAACUCGAAUUGGAUGUGGCCGAGAAUGCAUUCGUUCGCUGUGCAAAUUAUCCGGGAAUACAGUUGAUAAAGCGCUUGCGAAAUAUAUCGUCGGCCAUGUUGCAAAAAGCAGAAGUGGCAGCCUUCUAUGGCGAGUUCGAAGAGGCAGAGAAAUUGUACAUGGACGCAGAUAGAAGGUGGACUUAGCACGUUUUCACGUUUGAACUAUAAAAAGUUUCGGAAAGCUUGCAAUUUUCGAAAUUCUGAUGAAAUUCCAACAUUACCGUUUAACAAAAUCGACGAAUUAUAUCUAUAGUAGAGAUGGACACGGGCCCGCCGGGCCCCUGAGAUUUGGCAAUAACUCUGCGUAUAACGUUGUGCGACUGGUUUCGUGCCGUGCAGCUGUAUCGAAUGGGAUCCGGCGUCUCAGAUCAGC
Molecule: RNA transcript, 1337 nt
Organism: Rhagoletis pomonella (apple maggot)
Lineage: Eukaryota; Metazoa; Arthropoda; Insecta; Diptera; Tephritidae
Gene name: WD repeat-containing protein 35-like
Exons: 5
Source: RefSeq, a predicted model, not a curated record